RNAcentral lists this long non-coding RNA (1553 nucleotides) under Triticum aestivum (bread wheat). RNAcentral's name for it is "long non-coding RNA (TAES_LNC001042)". Lineage: Eukaryota; Viridiplantae; Streptophyta; Magnoliopsida; Poales; Poaceae. The record is from RNAcentral.
UUUAAUCCUCUUGUAUUUCGGCAUCAAUAGCAGCAGUUCGGAACAACAGCAGCAUAAUAAGUGGUUCACAAUAAGCGAGCAUAGCAAUCAGAACUGUUGUUCUCCAAGCUAAAGCUCCGAACUUUGAACAUAAUCGACAUGCGACCAUUGCGACAAUAUCUCAAGUUCUGAGUGUCAAAUAGCAACGAAACCAUGUGAAAAACUCUCAGAUCCUUCAAACUAGAGUCAAUAUCUCUGCAACCAUGACAUGGGCAAAAAUCCAGCAAAUAAAUAUGAAGCCUCUCCACCGAAAAGUACACAAGAAUCGAUCUAGGUUGCGGCACUUUCGCCCUUCUUCUGCAACAUCCUCGUGUAGGAGAAUAGAUGUGAAGAUAGUUUCGGUUUAUCUGCUGCUAUGCAAUUAAACAGUCAUUAGCAGUUGGUUUCUCACAAAGGACGCCCACUACAUAUUUUGAAAGGAAUACAGGCAAGUUAUGUAGUACUCCCUCUGUAAACUAAUGUAAGACGUAAAAACGUCUUAGAUUAGUGUACAGAGGUAGUACAUGUUUGUGAUCUCAAAGAGAAGUGACAGCCACAAAGUAAAAAAUAGUGGCACAAACAAGCCGUUAUUAAAUAUGGCAUUUUAUACAAUAUGCAUACAGCAACCAAACCAGCAGGCAUACAUACCAACACAACAUCAGAGGCAUCAACAACCAAAGUUAGGAGGAGCAGUUGUUAACAAGUUGCAGUUACAUAACUUGGUUUUAUUAUUAUCAACAACCAAAGUUAAAAAUGGACUUCUGAUUUGUUAUCUACUAUAUCUACUUGCAUCCCAACAAGAAAAGCAACAAACAAACAAUGGAACAUUUUUUCUAUCACCAAUAAUCAGUUAAUCGACUAAUACCAAAUAAUGGCAUGUUUUUACUCAGUAACCUCCCAAAUUGGAUUAACAAGCACAAUAAUCAGUGGAUCAACUAGUACCAAAAGAUGGCAUCAAGAGGAUCCAUGCCACCUUCCUUCCAUAUGCUACUUGCUUAAAUAAAUAAAUAGAUAGAUAGAACUGACAUAUCCGAAUACAGGUCUUGUUCAUUGGUUGCUUGUGAAAUAAACCCACCAAGCUAUCAGUUUAAUAUGUGUAGUAUCUUCUCAACAAUUUAGUGUUCAAUAUGUGUCACUGAAUGUAAGCAUACAUAGCAGAUGCUUAGAUCUAUUCAAUAACAAUAUGUGUAGCUUACUGUAAAAAUAGUUGACUGUAACAGAGGGUGAAGUAUCAAUGGUGUACAGCUAUUGGAAUUCUCAUCCCAUAAGCAUUUAUCAUGGUGCAUUCUAGGGAAGUCAAAUUUCAGAUAAAAAGUUACGACAUCUGGUGGACACCAAUGUAUGCACACACUACACAUAUUCUGGAAGUCCAAUACCAGUGUGCAUGAAAGUUGUUCAAUGUCAGUAUGCAUGAAAGUAGCUACAAGGGAUUAGAUUUUGGAGUCUUACAUGGGGUAACCUAACUUAAAAUCAAGAACCCUGUAGUUGGCCGACUUGAUGCAAUCGGAGGGCGGAUGAAGAAGCCCGGCACACAG